GAUGAACGCUAGCGGCAGGCCUAACACAUGCAAGUCGAGGGGCAGCAUAAAUAUAGUUUACUAUAUUGGUGGCGACCGGCGCACGGGUGCGUAACGCGUAUGCAACCUACCUUGUACUGGGGUAUAGCCCGGAGAAAUUCGGAUUAACCCCCCAUAGUAUUAUGUUGAAGCAUUUCAGUAUAAUUAAAACUCAGGUGGUACGAGAUGGGCAUGCGUCCUAUUAGCUAGAUGGUGAGGUAACGGCUCACCAUGGCGACGAUAGGUAGGGGGCCUGAGAGGGUGAUCCCCCACACUGGUACUGAGACACGGACCAGACUCCUACGGGAGGCAGCAGUGAGGAAUAUUGGUCAAUGGGCGCAAGCCUGAACCAGCCAUGCCGCGUGCAGGAAGAAUGCCCUAUGGGUUGUAAACUGCUUUUGUACGGAACGAAAAGGUUUGGGUUAAUACCCUGGGCUGAUGACGGUACCGUAAGAAUAAGCACCGGCUAACUACGUGCCAGCCGCCGCCGUAA
This 511-nucleotide ribosomal RNA is filed under the name uncultured bacterium. Its description in RNAcentral is "partial 16S ribosomal RNA". It matches the Rfam family "Bacterial small subunit ribosomal RNA", at positions 28 to 523 of the family's 1533-position model. The record is from RNAcentral.